This 1007-nucleotide ribosomal RNA is filed under the name Mycobacterium avium. RNAcentral's name for it is "bacterial SSU rRNA". It matches the Rfam family "Bacterial small subunit ribosomal RNA", at positions 16 to 1024 of the family's 1533-position model. Lineage: Bacteria; Bacillati; Actinomycetota; Actinomycetes; Mycobacteriales; Mycobacteriaceae. The record is from RNAcentral.
AUCCUGGCUCAGGACGAACGCUGGCGGCGUGCUUAACACAUGCAAGUCGAACGGAAAGGCCUCUUCGGAGGUACUCGAGUGGCGAACGGGUGAGUAACACGUGGGCAAUCUGCCCUGCACUUCGGGAUAAGCCUGGGAAACUGGGUCUAAUACCGGAUAGGACCUCAAGACGCAUGUCUUCUGGUGGAAAGCUUUUGCGGUGUGGGAUGGGCCCGCGGCCUAUCAGCUUGUUGGUGGGGUGACGGCCUACCAAGGCGACGACGGGUAGCCGGCCUGAGAGGGUGUCCGGCCACACUGGGACUGAGAUACGGCCCAGACUCCUACGGGAGGCAGCAGUGGGGAAUAUUGCACAAUGGGCGCAAGCCUGAUGCAGCGACGCCGCGUGGGGGAUGACGGCCUUCGGGUUGUAAACCUCUUUCACCAUCGACGAAGGUCCGGGUUUUCUCGGAUUGACGGUAGGUGGAGAAGAAGCACCGGCCAACUACGUGCCAGCAGCCGCGGUAAUACGUAGGGUGCGAGCGUUGUCCGGAAUUACUGGGCGUAAAGAGCUCGUAGGUGGUUUGUCGCGUUGUUCGUGAAAUCUCACGGCUUAACUGUGAGCGUGCGGGCGAUACGGGCAGACUAGAGUACUGCAGGGGAGACUGGAAUUCCUGGUGUAGCGGUGGAAUGCGCAGAUAUCAGGAGGAACACCGGUGGCGAAGGCGGGUCUCUGGGCAGUAACUGACGCUGAGGAGCGAAAGCGUGGGGAGCGAACAGGAUUAGAUACCCUGGUAGUCCACGCCGUAAACGGUGGGUACUAGGUGUGGGUUUCCUUCCUUGGGAUCCGUGCCGUAGCUAACGCAUUAAGUACCCCGCCUGGGGAGUACGGCCGCAAGGCUAAAACUCAAAGGAAUUGACGGGGGCCCGCACAAGCGGCGGAGCAUGUGGAUUAAUUCGAUGCAACGCGAAGAACCUUACCUGGGUUUGACAUGCACAGGACGCGUCUAGAGAUAGGCGUUCCCUUGUGG